Molecule: ribosomal RNA, 470 nt
Filed under: uncultured bacterium
Lineage: Bacteria
Description: bacterial SSU rRNA
Rfam family: Bacterial small subunit ribosomal RNA
Source: RNAcentral
GAUGAACGCUGGCGGCGUGCCUAACACAUGCAAGUCGAACGGAAUUUACAUGAAGCCUAGCGAUUGUAAAUUUAGUGGCGGACGGGUGAGUAACGCGUGGGUAACCUGCCUUGUACUGGGGGACAACAGUUGGAAACGACUGCUAAUACCGCAUAAGCGCACAGCUUCGCAUGAAGCAGUGUGAAAAACUCUGGUGGUACAAGAUGGACCCGCGUCUGAUUAGCUGGUUGGUGAGGUAACGGCCCACCAAGGCGACGAUCAGUAGCCGGCCUGAGAGGGUGAACGGCCACAUUGGGACUGAGACACGGCCCAAACUCCUACGGGAGGCAGCAGUGGGGAAUAUUGCACAAUGGGGGAAACCCUGAUGCAGCAACGCCGCGUGAGUGAAGAAGUAUUUCGGUAUGUAAAGCUCUAUCAGCAGGAAAGAAAAUGACGGUACCUGACUAAGAAGCCCCCGGCUAAACUACGUG